GACAGAGGAUGCAAACGUUGCUCGGAAUUACUGGGCGUAAAGCGCGUGUAGGCGGUUUCGCAAGUCAGGUGUGAAAGCCCAAGGCUCAACCUUGGAAGUGCACUUGAUACUACGGAGCUUGAGUACUGAAGAGGAGAAGCGGAAUUCCCGGUGUAGAGGUGAAAAUUCGUAGAUAUCGGGAGGAACACCAGUGGCGAAGGCGGCUCUCUGGGCAGAUACUGAACGCUGAGACGCAAAAGCAUGGGGAGCAAACAGG
This 256-nucleotide ribosomal RNA is filed under the name uncultured bacterium. RNAcentral's name for it is "partial 16S ribosomal RNA". It matches the Rfam family "Bacterial small subunit ribosomal RNA", at positions 524 to 776 of the family's 1533-position model. The record is from RNAcentral.